This 669-nucleotide long non-coding RNA is filed under the name Ananas comosus (pineapple). RNAcentral describes it as "long non-coding RNA (ACOM_LNC014262)". The record is from RNAcentral. Lineage: Eukaryota; Viridiplantae; Streptophyta; Magnoliopsida; Poales; Bromeliaceae.
UGAGGGGUAAAUGUCAGAUCAUAAUAACAGUUCGAGCUAUUAGAAAAAUACAAUCAAUUCACUUAAAAUGUGCAAAGACAGCGCUCACAGGUUUCGAUUAUAAUUCGGCCCAAUCAACCUCAUAUUGCCGCUUCGAAUAUGAUUCGGCCUAAUCCGACCUUUUGCCGUUUCGAACGUUACGCGUUUUAAUCUGACCUCCUAGUACAAGAUAGAAUGCUGGACCUUUUAAACUAACAAUAUAAAAAAAGAAUGUAACUUGUGAAGCCCAAAGGCACUAAUGGUGGCAAAGUGAGUUAGGUGAGAGAGAGAGAGAGAGAGAGAGAGAGAGAGAAAUGUCAGUGUGGGGGGGAAUGGGGAUGUGUGCAAGGUGGUGGGUGAGGAGAGCAACAAAUAUUAUUAAGAGUGGAGGCAAAGGAAAGGAACANAUAAUAACAGUUCGAGCUAUUAGAAAAAUACAAUCAAUUCACUUAAAAUGUGCAAAGACAGCGCUCACAGGUUUCAAUUAUAAUUCGGCCCAAUCAACCUCAUAUUGCGGCUUCGAAUAUGAUUCGGCCUAAUCCGACCUUUUGCCGUUUCGAACGUUACGCGUUUUAACCUGACCUCCUAGUACAAGAUAGAAUGCUGGAUCUUUUAAACCAACAAUAUAAAAAAAGAAUGUAAGUUGUGAAG